GCCGGUAGUCAUACGUUCGUCUCAAAGAUUAAGCCAUGCAUGUGUAAGUAUAAAUAAUUUUACUUUGAAACUGCGAAUGGCUCAUUAUAUCAGUUAUAGUUUAUUAGAAAUAUUUUACUACUUGGAUAACCGUAGUAAUUCUAGGGCUAAUACAUGAGUAAAACCUCAACUUCGGAAGAGGUGUGUUUAUUAGUAUGAAAACCAUAUAUCUUCGGAUAUAAUAGUGAGUAAUAAUAACCUUUCAUAUCGUAUGUCGUAAGAUAACGAUAGUUCUUUCAAGUUUCUGCCCUAUCAGCUUUCGAUGGUAGUAUAUGGGACUACCAUGGCAGUAACGGGUAACGAAGAAUUUGGGUUCGAUUUCGGAGAGGGAGCCUGAGAGAUGGCUACCACAUCCAAGGAAGGCAGCAGGCGCGUAAAUUACCCAAUCCUGACAUAGGGAGGUAGUGACAAUAAAUCACAAUGCGGAACUUUUAGUUUUGCAAUUGGAUUGAGAACAAUGUACAAAUGUUAUCGAUAAACAAUUGGAGGGCAAGUCUGGUGCCAGCAGCCGCGGUAAUUCCCGCUCCCAUAGCGUAUAUUAACGUUGUUGCAU
This 592-nucleotide ribosomal RNA is filed under the name Blastocystis sp. subtype 5. RNAcentral describes it as "SSU rRNA". It matches the Rfam family "Eukaryotic small subunit ribosomal RNA", at positions 16 to 618 of the family's 1831-position model. The record is from RNAcentral. Lineage: Eukaryota; Bigyra; Opalinata; Blastocystidae.